GGGUCCAUAGCUCAGUUGGCAGAGCAACCGUCUUUUAAGCGGUCGGCCGAAGGUUCGAGCCCUUCUGGACCCACCA
This 76-nucleotide transfer RNA is filed under the name Cohnella terricola. RNAcentral describes it as "Cohnella sp. G13 tRNA-Lys". It matches the Rfam family "tRNA". From Rfam's summary of the family: Transfer RNA (tRNA) molecules are approximately 80 nucleotides in length. Lineage: Bacteria; Bacillati; Bacillota; Bacilli; Caryophanales; Paenibacillaceae. The record is from RNAcentral.